GAGGGUAUAGCUCAGUUGGUUAGAGCGUCACGUUGACAUCGUGAAAGUCGCAGGUUCGAGUCCCGCUAUCCUCA
Molecule: transfer RNA, 74 nt
Filed under: Caudoviricetes sp.
Lineage: Duplodnaviria; Heunggongvirae; Uroviricota; Caudoviricetes
Description: tRNA-Val
Rfam family: tRNA
About the family: Transfer RNA (tRNA) molecules are approximately 80 nucleotides in length. Their secondary structure includes four short double-helical elements and three loops (D, anti-codon, and T loops). Further hydrogen bonds mediate the characteristic L-shaped molecular structure. tRNAs have two regions of fundamental functional importance: the anti-codon, which is responsible for specific mRNA codon recognition, and the 3' end, to which the tRNAs corresponding amino acid is attached (by aminoacyl-tRNA synthetases). tRNAs cope with the degeneracy of the genetic code in two manners: having more than one tRNA (with a specific anti-codon) for a particular amino acid; and 'wobble' base-pairing, i.e. permitting non-standard base-pairing at the 3rd anti-codon position.
Source: RNAcentral